UCACACAUCUUACCCUAAAUAUCUUCAAUAGCAAUCGAAAACAAUCAGGAACCAGGUAAGUGUUCUUGAUUAUGUCUAAUGGAGGUCUAAACAAGCCAAGGGAGUUGUCAAAUCUGACGUUUCACAGUGUGCUUUCAAUUAAGUAUUAUACACAGGGAUUAGAAAUUGGGUGCUUAUCCCCCUAUCAAUCGUCAUGGUUUUCAUCGGAAUCCUCCGUUACUAACCAGGUUAUAAUUAGGGCUUGAAACCUUCAAGUGGCUGUUGGUUUUAUUUUGUUUAAGGCUUUUCGGGCUCGGAAAUUGUAUUAUACGAAUAAUGCGAGGCGAGGCUCAACCAAACUGUCUUGAGUGCAGCAAGGCGCACAUGCUCACUAAAUCGGGAAACCUCUAUAUGAAGAUGUAGAAAGACCUCAUGUUUGGCUCUACAGAGAAGCCAAUACGUAUAUGAAGGCAAG
This is a long non-coding RNA of Helianthus annuus (common sunflower), 454 nucleotides long. RefSeq lists it as uncharacterized. The transcript has 5 exons. The record is from RefSeq and is a predicted model, not a curated record. NCBI's taxonomy places the organism in Eukaryota, Viridiplantae, Streptophyta, Magnoliopsida, Asterales, Asteraceae.